This is a long non-coding RNA of Clarias gariepinus (North African catfish), 516 nucleotides long. RefSeq lists it as uncharacterized. The record is from RefSeq and is a predicted model, not a curated record. NCBI's taxonomy places the organism in Eukaryota, Metazoa, Chordata, Actinopteri, Siluriformes, Clariidae. The transcript is spliced from 3 exons.
AGUGACCUUGUUUAUUGUUGAUUUAAGACUCAUGUCACAGUAUAUUUUCAUGGCUCUGUUGCAACAGAUUAAACUCAUCUUCUUAUAAAAAUGCAUAUUAAUAAGAUGAACACAAGAGUAUGACCUCAUUGAGACUCCAGGACAACAAAAGUAGAACAUCCUGGCUCAGCAAAAGUAAAGUAUCUUUUGCGUGUGUGCAUCUGUCUAUUCUAAAUCCGACAUAUUCUGCUUCAGACAUGGGAAGUGUAGCUUAUGGGUGAUUAUCACAAAGCUAUGAAUCCAGACAGUGUGUCCAAUGCUGUAAGAUGCCUUAUCUGCUUGAACACAUUCAGAGGGCAGCCAGUGGCGAGUCCACAACACUGUGAACACUUCUACUGCCUCGACUGCAUCACAGAAUGGGCCAAGAUUACAAAUUCUUGCCCUGUAGAUCGCCAGAAAUUUACUGUCCUCUACCAGAGAAGUUGCAUUGAAAGGACUAUUCAGAAAAUAAUUACAGUGAAGCCACCUGAUAGUCAG